CAUAUGUUCAUGAGUUUGCGAUGUACCUAUAUUCAAUCCUAACUAUUACUAGCUAACUAUGUGGACUUUGUAGAGGAUGUACGUGUCUAUUAUUUGCAGACCCACGUCAACUUAAUUUCAUGUGCUUGUGCUUUGGUAAAAUUUUAAUUUCUCUCUGUUUGCAUGUCGUUCUUCUCUCUACUUUCUGGUGAGUUCUAUUUUUCUGUUCCAUUUCUGCUUCUUUGUUUUUGCCACUAUUCUGAAGUUGUUUCCAUAUAUUCACAAAUUUCAUCAAUUUCCUCUCUUUUUUCCAUUUGAGUUACUCUAUCCUCUUUGGCCCUUUCAUCUUCACUUCAAUUUCUACUUUUGUGGUUUGCUUUCAUCAAUUUUAGAUGGCCAUGCUUCUAUUGACGUCCUGCUGCUGUUAAUUCUUUUCUAGGGAGUUGGAAGGUUUCAAACAUUUCUUAAGAUUAAAGGAAUUCUGGGUUGUUUAUGGGCCGACAGUGAAUAAAUUUUGAAGUGAAGUUUGGUUAAGCAUUGAAGCCAUGGAAGCUGAGAAGAUCUAUUACAGAGGUUUCUGCCACUGAACUUGCUUAUUCACCGGAAAGAACUGUAUUAUGAGUUGGAGCUGGAAGGGUCUGAGAUGGGGAGAAAUUCAUAAACAAGAUGUAUAUUCCAAGCAACAGAGUUCAACAUAAGAUAACUUGGCCAAGAUGAAUCUAUUUGAGGAAGGAGAGAAAUAGAAGAUGCUUUGCAGGAAAUCAAAAGGAGGAGACAUUCCUUUCUACCUCUGUCCAAGAAACAAUAGCAAUCUAUAAUGUGGUAUAACCGGUACUCAUUCACCCCUACUACUUGUGCUCUUAUCAUAUAUUUGGUUAUUUUAGUUACAGAAUAAGCUUGACUACUAAGGCUGAGAAGUGAAGACAAACUGAAACACGACAUAGUUAAUAAGAUUUGUCUCAUAAAAAAGGUUUUCUGGUUAGUACUGUUAUAAGAGUUUUUGUCUAGAAGACAGUUGUGUUCCAAUUGGCUUUCGAUGCUAAAUGUUGAUUUUGACCGUUUGUACCAACGUAUUUAACUUGCUUGAGAUGUUGGUACCUGAUGGGAUAUUAUAUCCAUUCACAGAGACAUCCAGUAAUAGGUUCCGUCAUGCAUUUUUUUGCUAAACGUGGAAAGAAAUUAUAGGCGUUUUGAAAAUAGUUAUCGGCCCUUACCAUGUAUCCAGUUCAAAUCAUUGCCAGUUUAUUCUUGGUAUAAUUUGAAAGAUGCCUAGUAUGUAACCAUUCUUUUUAGAUUUUUUUUUUAACUCUUUAAAGACACGAUAGGGUGAAAAUCCUUUUGUAGAGAAUUAAGCAAAAUCCUAUUUGCUAUACAUAUUUGGCACCAGCUUGGUGCGUAGCAAUGAAGUUUAUCUUUCCAUCAGAAAAGAAGAAAAGGAAAAAAGACAGACAUACCGUAAAAACCAAAAACCUUCAAAGAUGGCAAGAUGACAGGAUGGUGAUGAACUGGCAUAACCAACAGUUUAGCAUCUGUUUUGUAGCAAAUAAUCGAUAUACAAUUAACCUAAGCUUUGCAACUGUGGACUAUUAACAUAUUUGCAUAGUUUCUUACAUGCUUUUGUCUGUGAGAACUAAGAACUAGCUUGAGGAAACGGAAGAGUUAUCUGACAUUUGAUGGUUUAUUGAUGCAUGCUUCACGGGACUUUUGUUCUAACAUAAAUUGAUUGUAUAUUAGGCUAUCAGAAUUCAAUGUUUUACAAAGCUACUUCAACAUAAUUGAAAUUUGCAAACUAAACUUUCAAAUUCGUUCUUUUUAUUUUUAAAUGUUGAGGAAAGAAAAGUACUUCUGUUUUCCUUCUUUUUUUCCUUCUUAUAGAGAUUUAGAAUGUUAAAACUUACUCUGGGGAAAAUGACCAAUGAAGUGUUGGGAAAAUUAAGGUGUUCUUUUGAUAAUCUCGUGAUGUGAAUUUGCAGAAUAAUCCUAAUCCCGCUUUAAGAAAGUAUAGUUUCAGGUUGAGCCUGAGCUGAUAUGAAUCAAUGUAUGAUAAUUGUUUGGUCAUAGCUAUUGGUUUUUGGCAGAUUCUAAAUGCAGAAGUGGGCUAAGAUCGAGUAGCAUGUAAGAGAUGAUAGUUUGUCUAGCACUAUCCGUUUAAGGGGAUACUACAAAUUACUAAGUGUACUACAAAUUACUAAGUGUCAAGUAUUUAAGUAGACUUCACUGAAAAGGCUUUUGUAUGUAUUUAUUUUCCCUGUGUGUUAAAAUCAUUGAGUACAUGCUUUUAUACCUUUUCAGCUACUCGAUAUAUAUCUUUCUAUACAUGUUUUACCCAGAGGAUAGGACACAAGAAUCAGGUAUUGUGGAAAUUAUUUACCACUCCAUCUGCUUAGAAAAGGCAUAAAUAAAAAGAGAGUUAUGGCAGAGUAUAUUUGGGAUAAAGAAUCUACCUCUGUACCCUUUGGUUUUCUUCAAUUAUAUUUGGUGCAUUAAUCUUCGGUGUUGUGUUCAACCACCUUGGAGACAUUUUAGAAUUAAUACAGCUUUAUAUAAGAGAAAAUUUAUUUUGUUAUUUGUCCUUUACUUGGCAGGAGGUCAAAGAUCAUACAAUGCAUUUUAUUCCUUUGUUUUGAUGGAAUGCCAUCUUUAGCUCUUAGAUGACUAACCUUGGCACUUUGGCUGUUUUACUAUUAGAAAAUAUGCUAAUGCUGUAAAGAGUGCUAACAUAAUUCAUAACACUGCCCAGUGUCUCAUACCGUGUCAGGAACUGUUUGAAUCUACUCCCAACAACAGUUGAAGCGCUUUCAGAGAAACUAUAUCCUGAACUUCGUCAAAUCUUCUAAGUUGUCAAGUUGUAUUUACACAGUUGACAGAUCUUUGAGAACGCCUCCAUGCUAGGACUAUAAACUCACAUAUGUUUACUGGAUUUCUCUAAUUUGGUUGAUCUUGUGUUUAAAAUAUAUAUUUUUCCCGAGAGCAUACUUGCCUUUUGAUUUUUUAGACAUUGAAGGAUGCCAGAGUCCAUAAGGUAGGUAUAAUUUGGAUGUGUUGGAAGUGAAGUGAACGCUAGGUUAUAUUUGAUUGCUACAUGUUUUAAUUUUUUUCCAGCGUAAUCUAUGUUAUCAGUUGGAAUCUUCAACUUUGUCUUCCAUAUUUCCCCAGACAAUAAUGUUUCAUACCUGUGGUCUCCUGAUUUGUGUUAGAAACCUUGUAAUUUAUAUUUUGCAGGUUAACCCCUUGUAGGAAAAAGUUCAAAUCUUUUCAUCCUCGAUGGUUUCCUCCGUCACAUGUAUUUGAAGCAGAACAUUCAUUUAGAUGGAUGAAAAUGGCUUUGCGUUAACAGUAGAAGAUAUUAUUAGUUUGAAUAUUCUCCCGUUUGUGUAAUUGUAACUAAAGUGAUAGAAUACAAGUACUUUUUAUCUAUAUUGUUGCAGUUCAGUUAUAGAGUUACCUUAACUAAUUUAUUCA
Long non-coding RNA from Lycium barbarum (goji berry), 3441 nucleotides. RefSeq lists it as uncharacterized. NCBI's taxonomy places the organism in Eukaryota, Viridiplantae, Streptophyta, Magnoliopsida, Solanales, Solanaceae. The transcript has 4 exons. The record is from RefSeq and is a predicted model, not a curated record.